RNAcentral lists this long non-coding RNA (2106 nucleotides) under Hordeum vulgare. Its description in RNAcentral is "long non-coding RNA (HVUL_LNC008738)". Lineage: Eukaryota; Viridiplantae; Streptophyta; Magnoliopsida; Poales; Poaceae. The record is from RNAcentral.
AUCCCUUAAUUAAUUUUCUCUCUCCCAUGUAAACACGUCCCUUCAUCUCUCCCUUCUCUCUUUCCUGUAUCUCCCACUCCAUCUCUCUCUCACGUAUCUUCCUCUCUCUCUCUCUUGGAAAAAAUUCCGUGCAUCUCUUCUCUCCAUUCUCUCUCUUCCCCCAUGGAAAACAAAAUCAUCUUCUCCCCACAAACUGAAGGAAGGGAGUUUCGGGCAUGGAUCCAGUUGAUCAAUGAUCUUAAUGCAUCAAAUUUUUGUUCCUCGUCUUGAUCAGGUUCUGGAUCAGGUUCGUUUCUCACACUGCUUUUAUACCAAGAUUUGAUGAAAGUUUCAUACUCCUUUCUUUCUGAUUUGUGUAUUGAAUAAACUUCAAAAUUUGUUUUCCUUUGAUCUGUUGUAUUAAUGUCCUCCUUUCUACGUUUUCUGUAAUUUAGGGUCUAAUACAAUGGCGACAAGAUAGAAAAACCCGGGAAAGUACGUGGACACAGAUUGAUAUAUUAGUUCACAUUAUUUGAUAUAUCUGUAAUGAUGUAUGGAAUCUUUUUGAUAGGUUCAGAACCUACAAGUAAGCCCUUUCAAUUUGAUUUUAUAUCUGGACAUAGUUUUAGUUUCUUUCCAAGAAAAUUGGUGUAGGUUAUUCAUUGCUUGACCAAAGCAUUCAACGUUAGAAACUGGUUGAAACUAGACCAAUUUUUGGGUUCCAAGUUUCCAAUUAUUAUUCAGAUGGUAUAUGUUGCAGGUUCCGUUCGUUAAUCUGGUUUAUCUAGCGUCCGACUAUCGGUUAUCUCAGCAAACUACGCGGGCAGGUGUUUCCUCUCCACCUAUGCAUCUCCAGAGUCACUCCCAACUGCCGAUAGUUAGGCCCGUUUAUUGUCCUUAGACAUUAGUAUGGCCCUAACAACCACCAACAUAUCGGUUACAGACUGUCUAUUUCUAAAAAUCCGGCAGUUUUCUUGGACAAGGGAAAAUAUGACAAUCAGACCAGCUAGAUAAGUAGGUGUUCACUCUAAUCUCAAUUCAGGUAUAUUCCUCUUUAUGUUUUACCUUCUUUCAAAAAAAUGUUGUACAGUUAGUUUUAUCCUUUGUUUACAGUUUAAUACCCACCAGCAAAUAACUUACCUCUAUUAGCAAAAUAAAUUUAUAGGUUAUUCACCAACAGAAAAUGCUUAUUGAAUAGACUCCAUGUAUGUGAUGCAAGACUGAAAGGCCCGAAUGCUUUCUUCAAAUUGACACAUGAAGAGAUAAAACAUGUACUUUUCUUGGAGCAGGGAGAAGACGACAAUCAGACAAACCAUCUCGAAUCUACAUUCAGGUUUACUCCUCCUGAAGUUUUACUUUUUGCCGAAAUUUGUCGAUCUAGGGUUGGUUUGAUCCUCCAUUCAUAGUUUAUGUCCGACUAGCAAAUUAUAUUACUCUUUCUAGGAGGAGCAAUUUAUCUUCCUUGGUGUUACCAACCAACAUGUGCAGAUAUACUUUCAAAGGAUCCCAUGUACGUGUGUUGCUCGAUCGAAAGGCUGAAAACCUGUGCCGAGAAAUGCUGCUCACGGAAUUUUCACUCUCUCUCGAAGAAACUCAAUAGCAUGUAUGCUGAUCCAUCUUGAUCAUCACUUUUUUUGAGAAGCUGAGGAGUCAUACAUACAUACAACAUUAAGACUAAUAAAUGUGUUUGUACAUGUGUUUCUCGACUGCUAGGACAAUGGGUUUAGAGAAGUGUUGAGGUGAGCAGCGUCUAUAUAGCUGCCGGAUGCCGGAUGCAUAUUUAGCGGAAUGCCUAUGUAAUGGUACCGGAAGAGGGAUUCGUAUCCGGUGGCGCCUAAAGGCUGCGGCAAGGUAGUCUGCCAUGGGCGCACACAGGAGUGGAAACUGGAAGAGGAUGGGCGAGGAGGACAUAGAGAGGCAAACGGAACGCAGUGAGCCGCGAGGGGCAGAUGCACGGCAAGUCUCCAUGUUUUUUUAAGGUGGCGUCUAGCCGUGUACAGUUUUUUUUUGCGAAUGUCUACAGUUUUUGUUGUUGUACUACAUACAACAAAAUGUAUGCUUCUGGGACUUUAGCCACGAACAAAACUUUAGAUGGCAUCUACAGUUUUUUAUUGAACAGAUCGGGAG